CUCGCUUCUUGGCCUUUUGGCUAAGAUCAAGUGUACUAUAUAUAGUUACCCUGUUGUGCUAUCAAAUACUAAAUACUAAAAUUCUUUUUAUUUUUAUUGUUGUACCCAUU
Molecule: small nuclear RNA, 110 nt
Filed under: Chlorocebus sabaeus (green monkey)
Lineage: Eukaryota; Metazoa; Chordata; Mammalia; Primates; Cercopithecidae
Description: U2 spliceosomal RNA
Rfam family: U2 spliceosomal RNA
About the family: U2 is a small nuclear RNA (snRNA) component of the spliceosome (involved in pre-mRNA splicing). Complementary binding between U2 snRNA (in an area lying towards the 5' end but 3' to hairpin I) and the branchpoint sequence (BPS) of the intron results the bulging out of an unpaired adenosine, on the BPS, which initiates a nucleophilic attack at the intronic 5' splice site, thus starting the first of two transesterification reactions that mediate splicing.
Source: Rfam by way of RNAcentral